RNAcentral lists this ribosomal RNA (76 nucleotides) under Capra ibex (Alpine ibex). RNAcentral's name for it is "partial 12S ribosomal RNA". The record is from RNAcentral. Lineage: Eukaryota; Metazoa; Chordata; Mammalia; Artiodactyla; Bovidae.
CCCGUCACCCUCCUCAAGUAAAUAUAAUGCACUCAAGCCUAUUUACACGCAUCAACUACAUGAGAGGAGACAAGUC